This 280-nucleotide long non-coding RNA is filed under the name Brassica napus (rape). RNAcentral's name for it is "long non-coding RNA (BNAP_LNC010129)". Lineage: Eukaryota; Viridiplantae; Streptophyta; Magnoliopsida; Brassicales; Brassicaceae. The record is from RNAcentral.
CAGCAUACAAAAAUAAAUACUGUAAAAUUCCGAGAUAAAAAAUCAUAUUAAUAUGCCUAUGAUCAAUAAACAAAACUUUCAACAAAAAAAAUAAUAAAAUUUGUAUGUAUACAAGAGAAAAAAACAAAAUAUACAUUUAUUCCUAUAAAUUAAAAGUCAUGAAUUUGAAUAGUACUCACUCCGUUUCAGAAAGAUGUACAUUUUAGGUUUUUCAUACAUAUUAAAAAUAUAUAUAUCAGAUUUUAGUUACCAAUGCAUUAUUUUCAGUAAUCAAAUAUUC